Molecule: ribosomal RNA, 257 nt
Filed under: Turritella communis
Lineage: Eukaryota; Metazoa; Mollusca; Gastropoda; Turritellidae
Description: partial 16S ribosomal RNA
Source: RNAcentral
AAGACUUCUGCAUCUUCCGGAUAUUCUAGUCCAACAUCGAGGUCACAACCCCCCUUUUCGAUAUGGUCUCUCAAAGGAGAUUAUGCUGUUAUCCCUGCGGUAACUAAUUUUUUUGAUCAGUUUUACUGGAUCAAAACUUAUAAGUAAAAAAGAAUAGAGGAAGCUUUUGUUGUUCCUUGGUCGCCCCAACCAAAAAAAAUAAUAGUUGAAAAUUUACUAUGUAUAAAUGUUUCUAUUUAUUUUUAAAGCUCGACAGG